This 2545-nucleotide unclassified non-coding RNA is filed under the name Apis dorsata (giant honeybee). RNAcentral's name for it is "centrosomal protein of 89 kDa-like, transcript variant X2". The record is from RNAcentral. Lineage: Eukaryota; Metazoa; Arthropoda; Insecta; Hymenoptera; Apidae.
AAUAAGUAUCUAGUUACUAUGACAAUGAGUAGGAUACAAAUAUGGAAAUUAAUAAAAAUAUGCAGUGGUAUACAAAUAUAUGUAUGCAUAUUUUGUUUAAGUAAAUUUAUGGUAUUAUUACUGUGCGAAGUUGGUUAAUUUAUUCAUUAAUUUAAAUAUUUUAAUUAGUUUCGAAUGAAUAAUUUUAUAAACUAUAUCUUAAACUACAAAAAAAGAAAAAGCAAUGGCCAGUGUUAAUACUAGUAUUGAACAAGAAAGAAAAAAGCAUAGUCAUAGAAGAGCAACAAGUGUUAAAAGCAAUCAAGAUACAACUUUUGUACCAGUAUAUUGUCGUAGACAUAUUUCAAAGACAAAACAUACACUUAAAGCGCAUAAGAAUUUAUCAGAUUGCAUAACUGAUAAUGAUAAUGAUAUGAAAAAUCAUGAGGAUGAAGUACUUUCGAAAAGAAAAAGUAAAAUAUAUGAACAUGAAAGAAGUAAAAAAUUAACUGAAGAGAAUAAUUCUCAGAAAACAUCGUUUGACAAGGAUGAUGCAGAUUCGGGUAUUAAUUUAUCAAGAUUAAAAGAUAAGUAUGUUUCAAAGGAAACAUUGAAAAUAGUUAAUGAAUACCAUAAAUUGGAAAAAUGUUACAAAAAUAUUCAAGAAGAAUGUCAAAAAUUAAAUAAUAUUUUGGAGCAAAGGGAAUUGGAAUAUAAGAAAUUAUGUUUACAUUAUGAGGCAUUGAUACAGAUGGUUCAAGAAUUAGAAGAAGCAAAAAUUAAUUUACUUAAACAAAAUAAACAACUUGAAACAGAAAAGAUUCAAUCGAAUGAGGAUAUUACGCUUUUAAAAACUAUUGUAUAUCAAUUAAAUGCUGAAUUAGAAAGAUACCAAGACAAAUUAGGAGACCGAAAACAUGAAAAUGUUUCUGCAUCCAAUAACGGUAACAAUGAAAAGAAAUAUGAUUCAAGAAUUUGGGGAAAUAUCAAUUUUCAUGCAUUAGGUCCACUUUUAAAUGCUUAUCAAGAAAAUUUAUUAGAAAAACAAGAACUUAUAUAUAUGUAUGAACAGGAAAUGGCUGAUUUUAGUAGUAGAUGUAAACAAAUUCUUACAGAAAAUGAAAUUAUGCAUAAAGAAGUAGAAGAAUUGAAAUCAGAGUGUGACAGGUAUACAAAGGAAAUACAAAAAAUGGUUGAAAAUACCGCGUUGCUAAAGAAACAGAAUGAUAUUUUAAAAAAGGAAACUUUAAAUAUAAAAAGAGAAACUAAUGAUAUUCGUUCGUCAUAUGAAUCAAAAAUAGAAGUGAUUUUAAAAUGCAAUGAAGCUCUAAAAAAAGAGCAUUCAAUAACAAUAUCAGAAUUGAGCAAUUUACGAGGGAAAUAUGAAAUUUUAAGUAAAGAAUUUGAAGAAAUGAGGAAUAAAGAACAACAAACAGUGCCUACUACUGUUCAUGUUACUGCUAUUGAAGAAUGUAAAAUAUUAUUGGAUGAAUUAAAAUAUCAAUAUGAAAAUGAAAAACGUGAUCUUUGUAAUCAUAUAAAACAUAUAGAGGAAAUUCAACCUGAAAAUGAAAAAAAACUUAUAAUGGUUAUAGCCGAAAGAAAUCAUUUGAAAGGACUUGUUAACAAUCUUGAAACAACUUUAAAACGAACUCAACGUAAAAGUGAACAAAUGCAAACUCUUGUUUAUUCGACUCGUGUUUCACGUAAUUCUUUGAAAGAGAAAUUAAGUAAAGUAACUGCUUAUUGUGAAGAAUUAUUUUCGGAAUAUGAAAGAAUUGUUUCAGAAAGAGAAAAAUUACUAUCUUUUUUACGUGAAACGGAAAAAGAAAAUGCAAAUAUGGAUCGUCUUGGUAAAAGUAUUACUAGUCGAGUGGAAGGCUUAAAAAAUCAAUUAGAAAUUGUUCGAAAAGGUACGAAACAACAGGUAGAUUCUGUAGAAAAACGUAUAAAAUUACAAGAACUUCAUGUACGUCGAAUGAAACACGAUUAUCAACGUAAAAUACAAUAUUUAAACGAUGUAAUUAAACAACAGGAAGAUAUUAUUGGCAAAUUACAAAAAGAAAAACAUUCUAGUCAAGAUACGUUAACAAGACGAGUACUUCAGGCAACAAAUGAGCCAAACAAUUAUAGUACUGGACCAAAAAAUUCGUGAAUUAAGUUCGUAAAAUAUUUCCAUAUUAUUAAACUCAUAUUAAGAUCAUCCAUAAUAGAUUGGACUUUGAAAUUGAUUUUUAACCAAUCUCGUAAUAAGCAUCUAAUUAUGGAAUAGGUGCUACUCGAAACACCGUCCUCGUAUUUACCGACCGUGUCAGUCGCUUUAUUUAGCGGUGACAUCAAAUGAAGCAAAUGGCUACGAAGGCUACCGUGUGGACGCCACUGUAUGAACGACUGAUGGCAGUGGAGACUAAUAAUCAUAUAGUGAAAAGUUGAUGUCAUCCGUUAUAGAAUUUAAUAAUAAAUUGAAAAACAUCGAUAAUAUAUUGAUGUAUAUUGGUAUUAUAACAAUCACCAAUACGAUAUUCAAAAAAUUAUUUCUUCAAGUAUAAGAUGACUGUUAAAGAUA